This 468-nucleotide ribosomal RNA is filed under the name uncultured bacterium. RNAcentral's name for it is "partial 16S ribosomal RNA". It matches the Rfam family "Bacterial small subunit ribosomal RNA", at positions 28 to 507 of the family's 1533-position model. The record is from RNAcentral.
GACGAACGCUGGCGGCGUGCUUAACACAUGCAAGUCGAACGGAAAGGCCCUGCUUUUGUGGGGUGCUCGAGUGGCGAACGGGUGAGUAACACGUGAGUAACCUGCCCUUGACUUUGGGAUAACUUCAGGAAACUGGGGCUAAUACCGGAUAUGAGCUCCUGCUGCAUGGUGGGGGUUGGAAAGUUUCGGCGGUUGGGGAUGGACUCGCGGCUUAUCAGCUUGUUGGUGGGGUAGUGGCUUACCAAGGCUUUGACGGGUAGCCGGCCUGGGAGGGUGACCGGCCACAUUGGGACUGAGAUACGGCCCAGACUCCUACGGGAGGCAGCAGUGGGGAAUAUUGCACAAUGGGCGGAAGCCUGAUGCAGCAACGCCGCGUGCGGGAUGACGGCCUUCGGGUUGUAAACCGCUUUCGCCUGUGACGAAGCGUGAGUGACGGUAAUGUGUAAAGAAGCACCGGCUAACUACGUG